CCUACGGGUGGCAGCAGUGGGGAAUUUUGGACAAUGGGCGCAAGCCUGAUCCAGCUAUUCCGCGUGUGGGAAGACGGCCUUCGGGUUGUAAACCACUUUUGUAGAGAACGAAAAGUCUAUUGAUAAUACCGAUAGAUGAUGACGGUACUCUAAGAAUAAGCACCGGCUAACUACGUGCCAGCAGCCGCGGUAAUACGUAGGGUGCGAGCGUUAAUCGGAAUUCCUGGGCGUAAAGGGUGUGCAGGCGGUUUUGCAAGAUGGAUGUGAAAGCCCCGGGCUUAACCUGGGAAAGCCAUACAUGACUGCAAGACUAGAGUGCGUCAGAGGGGGGUGGAAUUCCAAGUGUAGCAGUGAAAUGCGUAGAUAUUUGGAAGAACACCGAUGGCGAAGGCAGCCCCCUGGGACGCAACUGACGCUCAUACACGAAAGCGUGGGGAGCAAACAGGAUUAGAUACCCGGGUAGUC
This 465-nucleotide ribosomal RNA is filed under the name uncultured bacterium. Its description in RNAcentral is "partial 16S ribosomal RNA". It matches the Rfam family "Bacterial small subunit ribosomal RNA", at positions 338 to 795 of the family's 1533-position model. The record is from RNAcentral.